CUGCGGAGGGAUCAUUACACAAAUAUGAAGGCGGGCUGGAACCUCUCGGGGUUACAGCCUUGCUGAAUUAUUCACCCUUGUCUUUUGCGUACUUCUUGUUUCCUUGGUGGGUUCGCCCACCACUAGGACAAACAUAAACCUUUUGUAAUUGCAAUCAGCGUCAGUAACAAAUUAAUAAUUACAACUUUCAACAACGGAUCUCUUGGUUCUGGCAUCGAUGAAGAACGCAGCGAAAUGCGAUAAGUAGUGUGAAUUGCAGAAUUCAGUGAAUCAUCGAAUCUUUGAACGCACAUUGCGCCCUUUGGUAUUCCAAAGGGCAUGCCUGUUCGAGCGUCAUUUGUACCCUCAAGCUUUGCUUGGUGUUGGGCGUCUUGUCUCUAGCUUUGCUGGAGACUCGCCUUAAAGUAAUUGGCAGCCGGCCUACUGGUUUCGGAGCGCAGCACAAGUCGCACUCUCUAUCAGCAAAGGUCUAGCAUCCAUUAAGCCUUUUUUUCAACUUUUGACCUCGGAUCAGGUAGGGAUACCCGCUGAACUUAAGCAUAUCAAUAAGCGGAGGAAAAGAAACCAACAGGGAUUGCCCUAGUAACGGCGAGUGAAGCGGCAACAGCUCAAAUUUGAAAUCUGGCUCUUU
This 631-nucleotide ribosomal RNA is filed under the name fungal sp. RNAcentral describes it as "eukaryotic LSU rRNA". The stretch from base 183 to 336 matches the Rfam family "5.8S ribosomal RNA". Lineage: Eukaryota; Fungi. The record is from RNAcentral.